GGGCAGGGGAAUCACAUUUAUAUCCUCUCUCUCUCUCUCUCUCUCUCACACACACACACACACACACACACACACACACACACACACACCCCAGCAUUCCCAGUUGGGGGAGGGACAAUUGAGUCUGUGUCAUAUGUGUGUGUGUGUGUGUGUGUGAGAGAGAGAGAGAGAGAGAGAGAGAGAAUGCACACAUGCAGUUUACAUGCCAG
Molecule: microRNA precursor, 209 nt
Filed under: Podarcis lilfordi (Lilford's wall lizard)
Lineage: Eukaryota; Metazoa; Chordata; Lepidosauria; Squamata; Lacertidae
Source: RNAcentral